RNAcentral lists this ribosomal RNA (900 nucleotides) under uncultured prokaryote. Its description in RNAcentral is "bacterial SSU rRNA". It matches the Rfam family "Archaeal small subunit ribosomal RNA", at positions 455 to 1354 of the family's 1478-position model. The record is from RNAcentral.
GUGCCAGCCGCCGCGGUAAUACCCGCAGCUCAAGUGGUGGUCGCUUUUAUUGAGCCUAAAACGUUCGUAGUCGGCUUUGUAAAUCCUUGGGUAAAUCGGGCCGCUCAACGGUUCGAAUUCUGAGGAGACUGCAAAGCUAGGGACCGGGCGAGGUCAGAGGUACUUUCGGGGUAGGAGUGAAAUCCUGUAAUCCCGAAGGGACCACUGUGGCGAAAGCGUCUGACUUGAACGGCUCCGACGAUGAGGAACGAAGGCUAGGGGAGCAAACCGGAUUAGAUACCCGGGUAGUCCUAGCUGUAAACUCUGCCCGCUUGGUGUGGCCUGUUCUUCGGGAGCAGGCUGUGCCGGAGCGAAGGUGUUAAGCGGGCUGCUUGGGGAGUACGGCCGCAAGGUUGAAACUUAAAGGAAUUGCGGGGGAGCACCGCAACGGGAGGAUGCGUGCGGUUUAAUUGGAUUCAACGCCGGAAAACUCACCUGAGGCGACCAGCGUAUGUGUGUCAGGCCGAAGACCUUACUCGAACAAAAGCUGGAGAGGUGGUGCAUGGCCAUCGUCAGCUCGUACCGUAGGGCAUUCACUUAAGUGUGAUAACGAGCGAGACCCCCAUCCCUAGUUGCCAACUUUUCCGAAGGGAAAGGUGCACUCUAGGGAGACCGCUUCUGCUAAAGAAGAGGAAGGAGGGGUCGACGGUAGGUCAGUAUGCCCCGAAUCCUCAGGGCUACACGCGCGCUACAAAGGACAGGACAAUGGGUUCCAACCCCGAAAGGGGAAGGUAAUCCCAAAACCUGUUCGUAGUCCGGAUUGAGGGCUGUAACUCGCCCUCAUGAAGAUGGAUUCCGUAGUAAUCGCGGAUCAACAGUCCGCGGUGAAUAUGCCCCUGCUCCUUGCACACACCGCCCGUC